UAACUCAAACAUGACUUGCUC
RNAcentral lists this non-coding RNA (21 nucleotides) under Caenorhabditis elegans. The record is from RNAcentral. Lineage: Eukaryota; Metazoa; Nematoda; Chromadorea; Rhabditida; Rhabditidae.